AUCCAGUUGACGAGUCCCAAAUUGGACGAAACAUGUGUCUUGGAU
Non-coding RNA from Schistosoma curassoni, 45 nucleotides. The record is from Rfam. NCBI's taxonomy places the organism in Eukaryota, Metazoa, Platyhelminthes, Trematoda, Strigeidida, Schistosomatidae.